CCUACGGGGCGCUGCAGUGAGGAAUAUUGGUCAAUGGGCUUACGCCUGAACCAGCCAAGUCGCGUGAGGGAAUACUGCCCUAUGGGUUGUAAACCUCUUUUGUCAGGGAGCAAAUGGCGCUCCGUGUAGCGUUAUCGAGAGUACCUGAAGAAAACGCAUCGGCUAACUCCGUGCCAGCAGCCGCGGUAAUACGGAGGAUGCGAGCGUUAUCCGGAUUUAUUGGGUUAAAAGGGUGCGUAGGCGGAAUGCCAAGUCAGCGGUAAAAGCGGGGGGCUCAACCUCGCUCCGCCGUUGAAACUGGCGUUCUUGAGUGGGCGAGAAGUAUGCGGAAUGCGUGGUGUAGCGGUGAAAUGCAUAGAUAUCACGCAGAACCCCGAUUGCGAAGGCAGCAUACCGGCGCCCAACUGACGCUGAGGCACGAAAGCGUGGGUAUCGAACAGGAUUAGAUACCCGUGUAGUC
RNAcentral lists this ribosomal RNA (460 nucleotides) under uncultured bacterium. RNAcentral describes it as "partial 16S ribosomal RNA". It matches the Rfam family "Bacterial small subunit ribosomal RNA", at positions 338 to 795 of the family's 1533-position model. The record is from RNAcentral.